ACUUAGUGGCAGACGGGUGAGUAACAUGUGGGUAUCUACCCUUUGGCCUGGAAUAACACGAGGAAACUUGUGCUAAUACCGGAUAAGUCUUUACGGAGAAAGCUUUAUGCACCAUUGGAUGAGCCCGCACUUGAUUAGUUUGUUGGUAGGGUAAUGGCCUACCAAGACUAUGAUCAAUAGCUGAUUUGAGAGGAUGAUCAGCCACAUUGGGACUGAGACACGGCCCAAACUCCUACGGGAGGCAGCAGUGGGGAAUCUUGCACAAUGGAGGAAACUCUGAUGCAGCGAUGCCGCGUGAGUGAAGAAGGCCUUUGGGUUGUAAAGCUCUUUCGUCGGGGAAGAAAAUGACUGUACCCGAAUAAGAAGGUCCGGCUAACUUCGUGCCAGCAGCCGCGGUAAUACGAAGGGACCUAGCGUAGUUCGGAAUUACUGGGCUUAAAGAGUUCGUAGGUGGUUGAAAAAGUUGGUGGUGAAAUCCCAGAGCUUAACUCUGGAACUGCCAUCAAAACUUUUCAGCUAGAGUAUGAUAG
RNAcentral lists this ribosomal RNA (530 nucleotides) under uncultured Pelagibacterales bacterium. Its description in RNAcentral is "bacterial SSU rRNA". It matches the Rfam family "Bacterial small subunit ribosomal RNA", at positions 90 to 654 of the family's 1533-position model. Lineage: Bacteria; Pseudomonadati; Pseudomonadota; Alphaproteobacteria; Candidatus Pelagibacterales. The record is from RNAcentral.